CGAUUAAGUGCCUUGGAACAGGCUGCCGUAGAGGGUGAGAGCCCCGUGAAUCGCUGGAGACCGAUCAAUUAGUGCCCGCCGAAGAGUCGAGUUGUUUGGGAAUGCAGCUCUAAGUGGGUGGUAUAUUCCAUCUAAGGCUAAAUAUUAGCGAGAGACCGAUAGCAAACAAGUACAGUGAUGGAAAGAUGAAAAGAACUUUGGAAAGAGAGUGAAAUAGUACGUGAAAUUGUUGAAAGGGAAGGGUAUUUGAUCCGACAUGGUGUUUAGCAGCGGCCCGUUCCUCGUGGAUGGGUGCACCUGGUUUACACUGGGCCAGCAUCGGUUCUGGGAGCCAUAUACGGGGUUCGUGAAUGUGGCCCUUCGAUUCUGUCGGAGGGUGUUAUAGCGCGGACA
RNAcentral lists this ribosomal RNA (393 nucleotides) under uncultured Dekkera. RNAcentral describes it as "eukaryotic LSU rRNA". It matches the Rfam family "Eukaryotic large subunit ribosomal RNA", at positions 178 to 577 of the family's 3401-position model. Lineage: Eukaryota; Fungi; Ascomycota; Saccharomycetes; Saccharomycetales; Saccharomycetaceae. The record is from RNAcentral.